This 253-nucleotide ribosomal RNA is filed under the name uncultured bacterium. RNAcentral's name for it is "partial 16S ribosomal RNA". It matches the Rfam family "Bacterial small subunit ribosomal RNA", at positions 524 to 776 of the family's 1533-position model. The record is from RNAcentral.
UACGUAUGGUGCAAGCGUUAUCCGGAUUUACUGGGUGUAAAGGGAGCGCAGGCGGCGCGUUAAGCCUGGUGUGAAAGCCCGCGGCCCAACCGCGGGACUGCAUUGGGAACUGGCGCGCUGGAGUGCCGGAGGGGUAGGCGGAAUUCCUAGUGUAGCGGUGAAAUGCGUAGAUAUUAGGAGGAACACCAGUGGCGAAGGCGGCUUACUGGACCAUGACUGACGUUGAGGCUCGAAAGCGUGGGGAGCGAACAGG